RNAcentral lists this ribosomal RNA (236 nucleotides) under uncultured bacterium. Its description in RNAcentral is "partial 16S ribosomal RNA". It matches the Rfam family "Bacterial small subunit ribosomal RNA", at positions 524 to 757 of the family's 1533-position model. The record is from RNAcentral.
UACAUAGGGUGCAAGCGUUAUUCGGAAUAACUGGGCGUAAAGGGCGUGUAGGUGGCUUCAGAAGUCUGGCGUUAAAUCUCUUGGCUCAACCAAGAGCUCGCGUUGGAAACCAUGGAGCUUGAGUCCUGCAGGGGUAAGCGGAAUUCCCGGUGUGAGCAGUGAAAUGCGUUGAUAUCGGGAGGAACACCUAUGGCGAAGGCGGCAUCCUGGACCAACACUGACGCUGAGGAGACGAA